This 28-nucleotide small RNA is filed under the name Bombyx mori (domestic silkworm). Its description in RNAcentral is "ovarian small RNA-32255". The record is from RNAcentral. Lineage: Eukaryota; Metazoa; Arthropoda; Insecta; Lepidoptera; Bombycidae.
UGAGUAUAUUCGUGUAAGUACCGCGGGC